UAGUAAAAUACAAGGGGUCCCCAAAAU
This 27-nucleotide non-coding RNA is filed under the name Mus musculus (house mouse). The record is from RNAcentral. Lineage: Eukaryota; Metazoa; Chordata; Mammalia; Rodentia; Muridae.